ACAUCCAGCGAACUUGGCAGAGAUGCCUUGGUGCCUUCGGGAACGCUGAGACAGGUGCUGCAUGGCUGUCGUCAGCUCGUGUUGUGAAAUGUUGGGUUAAGUCCCGNAACGAGCGCAACCCUUAUCCUUUGUUGCCAGCGAUUCGGUCGGGAACUCAAAGGAGACUGCCGGUGAUAAACCGGAGGAAGGUGGGGAUGACGUCAAGUCAUCAUGGCCCUUACGAGUAGGGCUACACACGUGCUACAAUGGCGCAUACAAAGAGAAGCGACCUCGCGAGAGCAAGCGGACCUCAUAAAGUGCGUCGUAGUCCGGAUCGGAGUCUGCAACUCGACUCCGUGAAGUCGGAAUCGCUAGUAAUCGUGGAUCAGAAUGCCACGGUGAAUACGUUCCCGGGCCUUGUACACACCGCCCGUCACACCAUGGGAGUGGGUUGCAAAAGAAGUAGGUAGCUUAACCUCCGGGAGGGCGCUUACCACUUUGUGAUUCAUGACUGGGGUGAAGUCGUAACAAGGUAAGCGUAGUGCU
Molecule: ribosomal RNA, 525 nt
Filed under: uncultured bacterium
Lineage: Bacteria
Description: bacterial SSU rRNA
Rfam family: Bacterial small subunit ribosomal RNA
Source: RNAcentral